AUUGAACGCUGGCGGCAGGCCUAACACAUGCAAGUCGAGCGGUAGAGAGGUGCUUGCAUCUCUUGAGAGCGGCGGACGGGUGAGUAAUGCCUAGGAAUCUGCCCUGGUGGUGGGGGAUAACGUUCGGAAACGGACGCUAAUACCGCAUACGUCCUACGGGAGAAAGCGGGGGGAUCUUCGGACCUCGCGCCAUUAGAUGAGCCUAGGUCGGAUUAGCUAGUUGGUGAGGUAAUGGCUCACCAAGGCGACGAUCCGUAACUGGUCUGAGAGGAUGAUCAGUCACACUGGAACUGAGACACGGUCCAGACUCCUACGGGAGGCAGCAGUGGGGAAUAUUGGACAAUGGGCGAAAGACCUGAUCCAGCCAUGCCGCGUGUGUGAAGAAGG
Molecule: ribosomal RNA, 387 nt
Filed under: uncultured bacterium
Lineage: Bacteria
Description: bacterial SSU rRNA
Rfam family: Bacterial small subunit ribosomal RNA
Source: RNAcentral